Molecule: ribosomal RNA, 112 nt
Organism: Solitalea canadensis DSM 3403
Lineage: Bacteria; Pseudomonadati; Bacteroidota; Sphingobacteriia; Sphingobacteriales; Sphingobacteriaceae
Source: Rfam
UCAGGUGCCUAUAUCGGCGGUGUCCACCUCUUCCCAUUCCGAACAGAGAAGUUAAGCCCGCCAGAGCCGAUGGUACUGCCGUAACAGGUGGGAGAGUAGGUCGGUGCCGAUU